RNAcentral lists this long non-coding RNA (566 nucleotides) under Selaginella moellendorffii. Its description in RNAcentral is "long non-coding RNA (SMOE_LNC000757)". Lineage: Eukaryota; Viridiplantae; Streptophyta; Lycopodiopsida; Selaginellales; Selaginellaceae. The record is from RNAcentral.
GCUACCAAAAGGAAAUUUAAAUUUAAGACAACGUGUCAUCCUCCUUUUGCAUAGUUUUAACUUUUAAAUGUUAGUUUUUUCUCCGUGAAGUUCAGGUUGACGGCGGUACUUUGACGAGGCAUGCAGCGGCCCAUGUUUCUACUUGACUCACGGAGGGUUUAAAAUCAGGGAUAACUGCAAGAAAGAGCACUGACAUGUUUUCAAAAGUACUUGUCACAGGAACAUCUGCCAUCCUGGAACACAUGAACCCGACUGGCAUCUUUGCAGAUGAUUAGCCUUUUUUCCAGCUUAGAGAUGAGAGCAGUGGCCGCAUGGCAAUCGUCACAAACUCGGACCUUUUGCAUAGUUUUAACUUUUAAAUGUUAGUUUUUUCUCCGUGAAGUUCAGGUUGGCGGCAGUACUUUGACGAGGCAUGCAGCGGCCCAUGUUUCUGCUUGACUCACGGAGGGUUUAAAACCAGGGAUAACUGCAAGAAAGAGCACUGACAUGUUUUCAAAAUUUGUUGCUGAGAAUGAAAGAGGAGGGCUAUGUGAGCGAUGUGAUCAACGUUCUAAAAGACAUACCUG